Molecule: long non-coding RNA, 393 nt
Organism: Phyllostomus hastatus (greater spear-nosed bat)
Lineage: Eukaryota; Metazoa; Chordata; Mammalia; Chiroptera; Phyllostomidae
Exons: 3
Source: RefSeq, a predicted model, not a curated record
CAAGGGUCCCUGGGGGCAUCCACCGAGGCUGCUUCACCCCUCCCCCCACGACCUCCUGCAAGACACAACCCGGAACCAGCUCCCCACUCCUCCCCUCUCGCAAAGCCCCCAGGGCUCCACCACUGGGUGCGGGUGCCUGUCGCACGAUCCCUGUCCCCAGAACCUCUAAAUGGAGGCCAAGGCUGGAGGAUGACAGAAAGAGGCUCCUCGGGAUCACCUUCUGUGACCCUCACAACCGGCUCCCAGAGGGGUAAGUUGGGUUGACAACAGAAGGAUGGGCAUUCCCACAUACCUGUGGAAAAGGUGAUUGUUGACCUUGAUCUUAGAGCUGGCCUUAAAGUCAUCUGGCAGCAGCAUCACAGGGGGAGGCACCUGGCUGAGCUCAUUGAUCUG